GCCCCUGUAGUCCAAUGGCAGAGACGAUGCACUCAAACUGCAUACAGUGUGGGUUCGAAUCCCACCGGGGGCACCG
This 76-nucleotide transfer RNA is filed under the name Micromonospora endolithica. RNAcentral's name for it is "tRNA-Leu". It matches the Rfam family "tRNA". From Rfam's summary of the family: Transfer RNA (tRNA) molecules are approximately 80 nucleotides in length. Their secondary structure includes four short double-helical elements and three loops (D, anti-codon, and T loops). The record is from RNAcentral. Lineage: Bacteria; Bacillati; Actinomycetota; Actinomycetes; Micromonosporales; Micromonosporaceae.